AUGUUCACUUUGGCAGCACAUGUACUACAACUGGAAAAAUCCAGGGAACAUUAGCAUGAUCUCUGUGCAAGGAUGACCUGUAUAUUUAUGAAUCUUUUCAUAUUACA
Molecule: small nuclear RNA, 107 nt
Filed under: Dasypus novemcinctus (nine-banded armadillo)
Lineage: Eukaryota; Metazoa; Chordata; Mammalia; Cingulata; Dasypodidae
Source: RNAcentral